CCUACGGGAGGCAGCAGUGGGGAAUAUUGGGCAAUGGUCGCAAGUCUGACCCAGCAACGCCGCGUGAAGGAGGAAGGUAUUCGGAUUGUAAAGUUCUUUUCUCAGGGAAGAAGAAAGUGACGGUACCUUAGGAAUAAGCCUCGGCUAACUACGUGCCAGCAGCCGCGGUAAGACGUAGGUGGCGAGCGUUCUCCGGAAUGAAUGGGUGUAAAGGGCGCGUAGGUGGUAUGGCAAGUUAGAUGUGUAACCCAAGGGCUCAACCUGUGGACUACAUGUGAAACUGUUGGUCUUGAGUACUGGAGAGGCAGACGGAAUUCCUAGUGUAGCGGUGGAAUGCGUAGAUAUUAGGAGGAACACGAGUGGCGAAGGCGGGUUGCUGGACAGUAACUGACGCUGAGGCACGAAAGCGUGGGGAGCAAACAGGAUUAGAUACCCGUGUAGUC
Molecule: ribosomal RNA, 443 nt
Filed under: uncultured bacterium
Lineage: Bacteria
Description: partial 16S ribosomal RNA
Rfam family: Bacterial small subunit ribosomal RNA
Source: RNAcentral